GCUGUUGUGGUGUAACGGUAGCACACUCGGCUCGUAUUCGAGAGGUCCAGGUUCAAAUCCCGGCGAUGGCA
RNAcentral lists this transfer RNA (71 nucleotides) under Stegodyphus mimosarum. It matches the Rfam family "tRNA". Rfam says of the family: Transfer RNA (tRNA) molecules are approximately 80 nucleotides in length. The record is from Rfam by way of RNAcentral. Lineage: Eukaryota; Metazoa; Arthropoda; Arachnida; Araneae; Eresidae.